RNAcentral lists this ribosomal RNA (658 nucleotides) under endophytic bacterium. RNAcentral's name for it is "partial 16S ribosomal RNA". The record is from RNAcentral.
UGCGGGUUACCCCACCGACUUCGGGUGUUGUAAACUCUCGUGGUGUGACGGGCGGUGUGUACAAGACCCGGGAACGUAUUCACCGCGGCAUGCUGAUCCGCGAUUACUAGCAAUUCCGACUUCAUGCAGGCGAGUUGCAGCCUGCAAUCCGAACUGAGACCGGCUUUGCUGGGAUUGGCUCCACCUCGCGGUUUCGCUUCCCGUUGUACCGGCCAUUGUAGUACGUGUGUAGCCCAGGUCAUAAGGGGCAUGAUGAUUUGACGUCAUCCCCACCUUCCUCCGGUUUGUCACCGGCAGUCACUCUAGAGUGCCCAGCUUUACCUGCUGGCAACUAAAGUCAAGGGUUGCGCUCGUUGCGGGACUUAACCCAACAUCUCACGACACGAGCUGACGACAACCAUGCACCACCUGUCUCCGAUGCUCCGAAGAGGGGCACUAUCUCUAAUGCUUUCAUCGGGAUGUCAAGACCUGGUAAGGUUCUUCGCGNUGCUUCGAAUUAAACCACAUACUCCACUGCUUGUGCGGGUCCCCGUCUAUUCCUUUGAGUUUCAGUCUUGCGACCGUACUCCCCAUGCGGAGUGCUUACUGUGUUAACUUCGGACCUAGGGUAUCCGAAACCCCCUUACCCCUAGCACUCAUCGUUUACGGCGUAGGACUU